UCCGAAGAGGUCUAGCGCUGUUCGGAAUUACUGGGCGUAAAGCGCACGUAGGCGGCUCUGUAAGUUGGGGGUGAAAUCCCGAGGCUCAACCUCGGAAUUGCCUUCAAGACUGCAGGGCUUGAGUUCGGGAGAGGUGAGUGGAAUUCCCAGUGUAGAGGUGAAAUUCGUAGAGAUUGGGAAGAACACCAGUGGCGAAGGCGGCUCACUGGCCCGUAACUGACGCUGAGGUGCGAAAGCGUGGGGAGCAAACAGG
RNAcentral lists this ribosomal RNA (253 nucleotides) under uncultured bacterium. Its description in RNAcentral is "partial 16S ribosomal RNA". It matches the Rfam family "Bacterial small subunit ribosomal RNA", at positions 524 to 776 of the family's 1533-position model. The record is from RNAcentral.